This 679-nucleotide ribosomal RNA is filed under the name uncultured bacterium. RNAcentral's name for it is "bacterial SSU rRNA". It matches the Rfam family "Bacterial small subunit ribosomal RNA", at positions 8 to 698 of the family's 1533-position model. The record is from RNAcentral.
AGAGUUUGAUCAUGGCUCAGAGUGAACGCUGGCGGCGUGCCUAACACAUGCAAGUCGAACGAGAACGGAUUACAGCUUGCUGUAAUUGUCAGCUAAGUGGCGCACGGGUGAGUAAUAUAUAGUUAAUCUGCCCCAAAGAAGAGAAUAAUUGUUGGAAACGACUUGUAAUGCUCUAUAUGCCUUUAUCACAUAAGUGAGCAAGGGAAAUAUUUAUAGCUUUGGGAUGAGACUGUACGGUAUCAGCUAGUUGGUGAGGUAAUGGCUCACCAAGGCUAUGACAUCUAACUGGUUUGAGAGGAGGAUCAGUCACACUGGAACUGAGACACGGUCCAGACUCCUACGGGAGGCAGCAGUGGGGAAUAUUGCACAAUGGAGGGAACUCUGAUGCAGCAACGCCGCGUGGAGGAUGACACAUUUCGGUGCGUAAACUCCUUUUAUAUGAGAAGAUAAUGACGGUAUCAUAUGAAUAAGCACCGGCUAACUCCGUGCCAGCAGCCGCGGUAAUACGGGGGGUGCAAGCGUUACUCGGAAUCACUGGGCGUAAAGAGCAUGUAGGCUGUAGAUUAAGUUGGAAGUGAAAUCCUAUGGCUCAACCAUAGAACUGCUUCCAAAACUGAUUUGCUAGAGUAUGGGAGAGGUAGAUGGAAUUUCUGGUGUAGGGGUAAAAUCCGUAGAGAUC